UCUCUCCAGCACGACCAGAGUUGCGUGGAGUAAACUAGAACCAGCCAACCGGUCUGCUGCUCCAGGGAAAAUAUCUGGUGCACCGCCGACACCCAUCCAUCCCCAUCUCCAUCCAUAUGGCUCGACCGCGGCGACUGUGCUGCUCCGCCGAGACUUGCUCCAUCCCCAUCUGCAUCUGUUUGGGGCACGGCGGCGGCAACGCUGCCGUCGUGAUAUCUACUUGAUUGCCGUCUCCAUCCGUUUGCCGAACGGGUCUUUCACAGCACAGCAAGAUGUCCACCAAUGGCGUCGAGCUCGAUGGGAUGUGUGCUUCGCUCGCGGCAUGGAACAGCUGCGCCUAUCUAGACGAGUCACAGGAUUCGAUGAGCGUCCCAACCAUACCUUUGGCACCGGAGGUGAUGCGCAGCUAGUCGGGGAUGCAGCGAGGGCCGAGGUGUGUUCUGAAGCAACCAAUGGCUGGACACGCAUGUCAGUGAAAAAUUGCUCUGUUUUUGCUCUGCUGCAAUUUUUAGUUUGGGUGCCCCUCACAUGGUAGAUCUAAUUUAUAGUAUGGUUCUUAGGUACAAAAGAGUUUAAGAAGUGUGUUGUUUUUGUUGGGUUUGGUUUGAUGAUCUGAUGCUAGCAUUAGGUAGUAUACUACAUAAUUUGAUGCAGUUUGUUCGAUUUUAUUGAUGAUCUGAUCGUAGCAUUAGGUAGUAAACUGCAACUGGUUGGGGUUUGUUGGAUUUUAUUGAUGAUUUGUUGAUAGCAUUAGGUAGUGAAACACAGAUGGCUGGAGCUUGUUGGGUAUAUUCAGUUGCAGUGACUUAUGUUGUGUUCUUGAGAUGAAAAGUUAGAUUAGGAAGUUUAAUACGAAUAAUGAGGUAUUUUAUGAUGGAAUUAGGGUGAUGGUCUUGGAUUUCUAGUUUGUUUAGAGUACAUUGGAGUUUUGUGGGUGUGCAUUUUAGAUUGGUGUGUGGGCAUCGGAGAGUCUGUGCCAUCAUUGAAUUUAGGAUGGCUUGUUGGAUUAGCAAAGCUUGACCGCGGAGGACUGGAGCUUGUUGGGUAUCUUCAUUUGCAGUGACUUAUAUUGUGUUCUUGAGAUGAAAAGUUGUAUUAGGGAGUUUAAUACGGAUGUAAGAAAAGCGUUAGUGAUAAUGAGGUAUAUUAUGAUGGCAGAAGGUUGGUGUGUUGGAUUUCUAGUUUGCUGAUUGGAAACUAGAGUUUUGUGGCUGCGCAAUUUAGAUUGGUGUAUGGGCAUUGGGGGAUCUGUGCCAUGAUUGAACUUACGAGGAAUUUUUGUCGCCUGGUGCUAUUACUGGUAUACAAGGAUAGUGUUAUUGAUUACGAUCGAUCGAUUGGGUGGGUUAGAUUUAUAUAGUUUUGCUGCAAAAACAUUUCUUGAUAUGUCGCUGAUCAGCAGCUGUGUUGGAUUGUUUGUGAUGUGUGUUGAGUAUAGUCAAUGGCUGGCCGAUUGUUUUUACAACACCUUCAUGCGAGCAGGUCGCCACAAAUUUAUGUAAGGAGGGAAGAUGUUGUAAUUGGUUGUUACGUAUCCGGUUAAUUAUGUAAUUGCAAAACGAUGGUCUUUAAACUGUAUGGGUGAGGAUCGGGAAAGCCCCGGAGGAAAGGGAGAUGAACCCAAAUAGGAAAUCAGCUCUUGAAUUGUCUCUCCG
Non-coding RNA from Triticum urartu, 1655 nucleotides. NCBI's taxonomy places the organism in Eukaryota, Viridiplantae, Streptophyta, Magnoliopsida, Poales, Poaceae. The record is from RefSeq and is a predicted model, not a curated record.